This 276-nucleotide ribosomal RNA is filed under the name uncultured bacterium. Its description in RNAcentral is "partial 16S ribosomal RNA". The record is from RNAcentral.
CUGCUGCCUCCCGUAGGAGUCUGGUCCGUGUCUCAGUACCAGUGUGGGGGACCUUCCUCUCAGAACCCCUACGCAUCGUCGCCUCGGUGGGCCGUUACCCCGCCUACUGCCUAAUGCGCCGCAUGCCCAUCCCUGUCCGGCCGAAGCCUUUCCUGCCUCCGGGAUGCCCCGGUGGCAUGUACGCGGGUUUAGCCCGCCUUUCGGCGGGUUGUCCCCCUGACAGGGGCAGGUUGCAUACGUGUUACUCACCCGUGCGCCGGUCGCCGGCGGAGAAAG